Non-coding RNA from Pelobates cultripes (western spadefoot toad), 493 nucleotides. NCBI's taxonomy places the organism in Eukaryota, Metazoa, Chordata, Amphibia, Anura, Pelobatidae. The record is from the annotation of a GenBank genome assembly.
UAAGUCCCAGACAAUUUUCCCACUUGUCCCUAGUAUAUCUGGGCAACCUGGGGAAUCAAGGUGGCUAUCCCUUCCUUUAUAUACACAGAAGGUUUACACAUAGCCGCUUCCACUUUCACACAAUUUAUCAAAUUUCAUCCAAUAUCGGGAUGUUUUGGAUGGGAUGUAUUUCCCUUAAACUUCAUGAGGGAUUCAUCAAUAGAAAUGUUUUUUUGGGGUAUAAAUUGUGGCAAAAUUUUCAUUAACCGCUUAAGGACACAACGUCUGAAAUAAAAGGGAAUCAUGAUGGAAUAUAUCCAUCAUGUGUAUUUAAGGGAUUAAAGUGGGCACUUAGAGGGUGUAUUUUAUAUAGAAGAUCACACUGCGGAUGACAUUUUGGGGAGCACUUCAUAUUGUCACUACAGUGCUUAAAUCGCAGUAGGUCUUCAUAUCUGUCCCUACUCAUUGUCUGGAAAAAAUUGGAUUUUUAGACCAAUACAUCCUAAUUGUGGGC